Molecule: long non-coding RNA, 451 nt
Filed under: Chinchilla lanigera (long-tailed chinchilla)
Lineage: Eukaryota; Metazoa; Chordata; Mammalia; Rodentia; Chinchillidae
Description: lncRNA (ENSCLAG00000023096.1)
Source: RNAcentral
UUGUGAGAAUAAUGUGUUAGUUUAUUGUGACUCGAGCUGUGAGGAAAUAGUCUGCUCCCAAGGUUGAGGGGAAGUGUCACAGGAGGUGAGUGGAGGGAAGGGUAGUUUGGGGACACGGUGGGGCUGAGACUGGCAGGAGCGGAGGCCCGGGCAGAACACUGCAGGGCGUCACGAGGCAUUGAGAAAGCCCUGCCUGGUGCCCGCUGCUUGGCACAGUACCUGGCACGGAGCAGGUGCUCCAAGCGUUGUGGAGCAAAUGGACCCUGCUCGGAAGCAGAGCCAGGCAGGAGCCGGCACCGGUACAGUGAUUGGAGGUGAGAGGGCGCCGAAGAAGCACUUGACCUACUUGUUCACUUUGUUCCAGUGCUUAGCGAGAAGGACGGAUCGAAGGCUGUCAAGAUGAUGCGGGCUGGAGUUGCUUUGUGUCGCUUUUCCUGGAAGCAUGGAGAAA